RNAcentral lists this ribosomal RNA (460 nucleotides) under uncultured bacterium. RNAcentral describes it as "partial 16S ribosomal RNA". It matches the Rfam family "Bacterial small subunit ribosomal RNA", at positions 338 to 795 of the family's 1533-position model. The record is from RNAcentral.
CCUACGGGAGGCAUCAGUGAGGAAUAUUGGUCAAUGGCCGGAAGGCUGAACCAGCCAUGCCGCGUGAAGGUCAGUGCCCUAUGGGCGUUAAACUUCUUUUGUGCGGGAGCAAUAAUGGUCACGUGUGGCCAGACGAGAGUACCGUACGAAUAAGCAUCGGCUAACUCCUGGCCAGCAGCCGCGGUAAUACGGGGGAUGCAAGCGUUAUCCGGAUUUAUUGGGUUUAAAGGGUGCGUAGGCUGUGAGGUAAGUCAGCGGUGAAAUGCCCCCGCUCAACGGGGUGAAGUGCCAUUGAUACUGCCUUGCUUGAAUGCGGAGGCCGUGGGAGGAAUGUGUGGUGUAGCGGUGAAAUGCAUAGAUAUCACACAGAACACCGAUUGCGAAGGCAUCUCACGAAUCCGCGAUUGACGCUGAUGCACGAAAGCGUGGGUAUCAAACAGGAUUAGAUACCCCUGUAGUC